Molecule: ribosomal RNA, 422 nt
Filed under: uncultured Glomeromycotina
Lineage: Eukaryota; Fungi; Glomeromycota
Description: SSU rRNA
Rfam family: Eukaryotic small subunit ribosomal RNA
Source: RNAcentral
UGGUAUGACUGGUCUCGCUGAUCCCUCCUUUCUGAAGAACUGUAAUGUCAUUAAUUUGGUGUUGCAGGGAAACAGGACUGUUACUCUGAAAAAAUUAGAGUGUUUAAAGCAGGCUAACGCUUGAAUACAUUAGCAUGGAAUAAUGAAAUAGGACGUUCAAACCUAUUUUGUUGGUUUCUAGGAUUGACGUAAUGAUUAAUAGGGAUAGUUGGGGGCAUUAGUAUUCAAUUGUCAGAGGUGAAAUUCUUGGAUUUAUUGAACACUAACUACUGCGAAAGCAUUUGCCAAGGAUGUUUUCAUUAAUCAAGAACGAAAGUUAGGGGAUCGAAGACGAUCAGAUACCGUCGUAGUCUUAACCAUAAACUAUGCCGACUAGGGAUCGGAUGAUGUUAAUUUUUUAAUGACUCAUUCGGCGCCUUACG